Molecule: ribosomal RNA, 236 nt
Filed under: uncultured bacterium
Lineage: Bacteria
Description: partial 16S ribosomal RNA
Rfam family: Bacterial small subunit ribosomal RNA
Source: RNAcentral
CGGACGGGUGAGUAACGCGUGGGUAACCGUGCCCUGUACAGGGGGAUAACAGCUGGAAACGGCUGCUAAUACCGCAUAAGCGCACGAGGAGACAUCUCCUUGUGUGAAAAACUCCGGUGGUACAGGAUGGGCCCGCGUCUGAUUAGCUGGUUGGCAGGGUAACGGCCUACCAAGGCAACGAUCAGUAGCCGGUCUGAGAGGAUGAACGGCCACAUUGGAACUGAGACACGGUCCAA